RNAcentral lists this long non-coding RNA (1314 nucleotides) under Nicotiana benthamiana. RNAcentral describes it as "long non-coding RNA (NBEN_LNC040434)". Lineage: Eukaryota; Viridiplantae; Streptophyta; Magnoliopsida; Solanales; Solanaceae. The record is from RNAcentral.
UGCUAGCUCUUUAACAAAAAGAAAAAGUAAUAGAAGACAAUUACCAUCUGGGCUAAGGUUUCACUUAGACAGGGGAGUCGACUGAGAAAAGAUAAAUGGUAGUUUAGAUAGUCUACGACUUGACACAAUGAACAAAUAACACAAGACUCAGUUCUACCUAUGAACUUGCAGAUAUCGAUGUAGUUGGUGCAAUCAGUGAGAACAUUUGGAACCUCUGUACAGAAGCUAUAGUUGUCCCCCUUUUUUUGCUUGUUAAGUGACAAUAUGAAACUACACAGUGCUUUUUUCUUAGAAGUAUUCAUCCUGUCCGAGUACACUAAAAAGUUAAACCUACUCCUGGAACUCUUCAAAUUAUUGUUCUAUAAGUUAAAAACUGCAGAUUCCAGACCGUGUAACUUCACUGAACUUUUUCGAUCUAAAAUUAUUCAGAUACUCUCCUCAUCAAAGUCCUUGGAGUCCUCAUUAACAUGCAAAUUCUAUUAGUCCCGAGUAUUAGUUUAGAUUGUGCUAAUUCACCAGAAUCUCAGCCCACACUAAAGCAUUUUAGCUUCACUUAAAUCCAACAAAUCAGACUUUCUCUAUCUAUGCGAUGUGCAAUAAGUUAUCAAAAGCUAACAUGACGAUAUCAUCAACAACAUGCAGGUAUUAAUCAACCGCAGUUUCAGCUAAUUAAAAUUUAGAAACCAGCAAGAAAUAACCAAAAGUCUCGGAUGAUAUGCAUGGUUAACCAAAAAAAUGUAGAUGGAAGACCAAAUAUUUAUGAAAAGGGAGUAAAUUAAGUUAAAAACAAAUGACAUAGGUGUUUAUCCUUCAAAAAAGAACAAAGGCGCAGCCACAUGCAGAUUGAAUCAAUAAUACUGCAGCUAGUACUAAAAUUAUCCAAUGGAAAUAACUACUUUUAAACACCACGUACGGUUACCACAUAUUUUUUACUUAUUAUCCAAUGCAAUUAACCGCUCAUUUAGUAAAAAUUGAUGAAUAGCGAAAGCCAAAGAAGGUAUAAGCUCACAUUAUUCAAAUGCUUUCUUGCAUCUUCUCGCAGUAAAUCGAUACGAUCCAGAGCAAGUACUAAUCCAAGCGCCGUAAUCAAAAGCACUUUGAGGACUGGCAUUGAUGCAGCGAUGAAGAGAUCCAAAAGCCCCAUCUCUUGUUGGAAAAUUGUGAAAUUACAGGCAGAAUAUUUCAAUUGAACCUCAAUUCUAAUCACACCAGCAAUCAAAACAAAAGGAAAAAAGAUAUAUAUAAAACAUGUAAGGAUGAAUUAAAAAACAGGACAGAAAGCAAAAGUUAACACGGCACAUGUGAAAAUGAAAA